RNAcentral lists this long non-coding RNA (1226 nucleotides) under Macaca fascicularis (crab-eating macaque). RNAcentral describes it as "lncRNA (ENSMFAG00000057356.1)". The record is from RNAcentral. Lineage: Eukaryota; Metazoa; Chordata; Mammalia; Primates; Cercopithecidae.
UGGGGUUGUGCAUAAAUGCAGUGAGAUUAUGGAUAUUUUAUAUCAUGUAUCUACCACCAUUCCUGGAAAACAGCACGUGACCAAAAGUGCUCAUUUUCUUUUUCUUCCACAGAUUGAACAACUGAGGCUUGGUGGAGUUACAUCACUUGCCCAAAGAGAUAAUGCCAGUGAAUGGAAUAGCCGGAUCUAAUUCUCGAAUCCGUAAAGCUCCACUGCUUCUCUCUGAAUGUAGUAACCCAUCCACAACCCUAAGAUAUUAGACACAUCAGUGAUCACUCCAUCUGUUUUUGGCCCAUUGCUGCUGUCAGGAUUUAUGCAUUUAUGUCUGCAAUAAUUAUUUAUUAAGGACCUUCUCUCUUGCAGUUGCAUAUGGCCUUAUAACUGAAUUCUGACUUUGUGUCUCUCUUGGGAGAGACAGAUAAUCAUUUUUCAUAUGUGAUCUUCUUUCUGUCCCACCUCUCAUCUAUGAGCCUGAAACAGCAGAUUCAGUAGAACAGUCAGAGUUUCUCAGGAAUGGCAGAGCCACAACUUGGGAGGAGCCCAGAUCUGUCCAACAAUCUGGAACAUCCAUCAACCAGGAACACUGUUACACCUUAUGUGACUAAGAAACAUAUUUUAAGGAAAAAGCACUAAAAUUUUGGGUUAUACUUGUUGCAAUAAGUGUGUUACUUACCUAACGCACAAUCACAAGUGUAAAAUGCACACACACAGAGUGUGAGGAAAUAUAUUGUUAUUGGACUACUUGUAGUCUAUUUAAUUUUUUUAUAUAGCUAUAGUCAGAUCCAGGGUGAAAUGAUUUAGAAUAAUAAUUUCCAAUAGUAUAUGCAUCAUACCUUUAAAAAGACUUUUAUGGAUGGAUAAAUAUCUAAUUAUGGCACUGCACUGCAACAUAAGUCAUGAGAGAAACUCUUUACAUACGCUUUGGUUUUUUUCUGAAUGCAUAGGCUCAGAAUUACUAAACAAACCCUCAUCUUUUGAUAGCCAAUAAUCAAUCUCUUGUUUUCAGGGAAUAGAAUUGUAUUAGAGGGGACAUUGGGGAAGUUAUAUACUACCUUAGCUUUCUGCUAUAAAAAAUAAAACUACUAGUCUGUAUUAAAUUUGAUUUUAUAUGUUCAAUGAAAUAUAUCCUUAUAAUAAAGUUAUAUAAAUGUAAGUUGCAAUGACUAUCUUUUUUUUUUUUUUUUUUUUUUUUUUGAGGUGAGUCUUCACUCUGUCGCCCAGGCUGG